CCUACGGGUGGCAGCAGUGAGGAAUAUUGGUCAAUGGACGAGAGUCUGAACCAGCCAAGUCGCGUGAAGGAUGAAUGUCCUAUGGGUCGUAAACCUCUUUUAUAAGGGAAUAAAAUGUUGCACGUGUGGGAUUUUGUAUGUACCAUAUGAAUAAGGAUCGGCUAACUCCGUGCCAGCAGCCGCGGUAAUACGGAGGAUCCGAGCGUUAUCCGGAUUUAUUGGGUUUAAAGGGAGCGUAGGUGGAUUGUUAAGUCAGUGGUGAAAGUCUGCGGCUCAACCGUAAAAUUGCAGUUGAAACUGGCAGUCUUGAGUACAGUAGAGGUAGGCGGAAUGCGUGGUGUAGCGGUGAAAUGCUUAGAUAUCACGAAGAACUCCGAUUGCGAAGGCAGCUUGCUGGACUGCAACUGACGCUGAGGCACGAAAGUGUGGGUAUCAAACAGGAUUAGAUACCCGGGUAGUC
Molecule: ribosomal RNA, 460 nt
Filed under: uncultured bacterium
Lineage: Bacteria
Description: partial 16S ribosomal RNA
Rfam family: Bacterial small subunit ribosomal RNA
Source: RNAcentral